UAGGAUCCCAGCAUUUCAAGGUUUUGUCCCAGCUACCAGUUAUCACUUGUCCAGUUGCAUAUGAGUAAUCAAUGCAGCGAACUGGUGCAUCAUGCCUUCCCAAUAUAUCCUCUCUUCCAGAGUUGAACACAAGCCUUCUAACGGUAUUAUCAGCACUGGCACUGAAUCCAGAUGAAUCAUCGUGGAAGCAACAAUCAAGCACUGCACCACCGUGCAUGAACUCCCCUCUCAAGGCAUUAGCACUUGCAUCGUACAAACGGACCGUCUUAUCCCAAGAAGAAACAAGGAGGUGAUCGCUGUGGUUGGAGAAGCGGAGGUUGGAUAUGCCGUCCUUGGGCGGGUUUUCGAGCUCUCUUCCGGCAGAUUGCGACACCGCCGUCAUGAUAUCGCCGUCGUUCGCUUAAAAUGAUUGAUUUCUGAGUUAAGUACAGGAUGUGGGAGCGUAUGGAGUGACUAGGGUUUCACAGAGAGUGGAGGGAGAAG
Molecule: unclassified non-coding RNA, 483 nt
Filed under: Hevea brasiliensis (rubber tree)
Lineage: Eukaryota; Viridiplantae; Streptophyta; Magnoliopsida; Malpighiales; Euphorbiaceae
Source: RNAcentral